Molecule: ribosomal RNA, 293 nt
Filed under: uncultured bacterium
Lineage: Bacteria
Description: partial 16S ribosomal RNA
Rfam family: Archaeal small subunit ribosomal RNA
Source: RNAcentral
GUGCCAGCCGCCGCGGUAAUACCGGCAGCUCAAGUGAUGUCCCAUAUUAUUGGGCCUAAAGCGUCCGUAGCUGGCCGACCAAGUCUCUCGGGAAAUCCACCCGCCCAACGGGGGGGCGUCCGGUAGAAACUGGCCGGCUUGGAACCGGAAGGCUCAGAGAGUACGUCCGGGGUAGGAGUGAAAUCCCGUAAUCCCGGACGGACUACCGAUGGCGAAAGCGCUCCGAGAAGACGGCUUCGACAGUGAGGGACGAAAGCUCGGGUCUCAAACCGGAUUAGAUACCCCAGUAGUCC